Pteropus alecto (black flying fox) is the source of this 529-nucleotide long non-coding RNA. RefSeq lists it as uncharacterized. Lineage: Eukaryota; Metazoa; Chordata; Mammalia; Chiroptera; Pteropodidae. The transcript is spliced from 2 exons. The record is from RefSeq and is a predicted model, not a curated record.
GCACACCUCCGCCUCUGGGCGCAUGCUCCGCCGCUGGCUGGGGAGGGUGCGGAGCGGGUUUGAAGGGGGCAUGAUGAGGCGUGAUGGGACCUGGGGAAACUGGGUACCCCAGCUCCGACUGCGCACGAGGUCUCCAGAGGGGGAGGCAAUGGCCGAGGAGAGUUCCCGGUGCCCAAGCGACCGGAGUCCCCAACGAAGUGUCUUACUCAAUUCUUUGUUCGAGACAUCAAGAACCUGGACAACAUGCCAGAAGAGGAUCCCCACUCUCCAAUAACAUCGAGCAUAUUAAGCACUCUGAGAGCCAAGAUAACUUCCUGAAAUGUGUGAUGGAAAUUGAUCAAAAAAAGAAGGAAGCCAAAGAGAAAGGUACCUGGGUUCAACUGAAGCGCCAGACUGCUCCGCCCAGAGAAGCAAACUUUGUGAGAACCAAUGGAAAGAGCCUGAGCUGCUGGAACCCAUUUCCUAUAAAUUCAUGGCAUGAUAAGUGUAAAAAAAUAAAAGACCUGUGUAUUGUUAAAAAAAAUUACAA